AAAGAAUGGAGGCGACUCUCUCUUAGCCAAGCCCUUGAAGUGCAUUGGACAUGUUCAUCCCAGGGGGCCGAGUGAACAGGAGACUGACUGGGCCACCGAGCAACUGAUAGCACCUAGCGAUGGUCCCACUUGGUUGGGAAGGCUCCUCGCCUCUGCAGGCGUGUUUGCACCUCCGCCUCGGGGCCGCAGGAACCUGGACUCAGGGACUAUUUAGACAACACUGAGUUGGAGGAGAAGACUACCAACUGCUCUGGAUUGAUGACACCGUUUGGGCGUAAAAUGGGCAGAAGGAGGAUGGUAGGAAGAAAAGCAGGAGAGAUGUUGCUGCCUCUUCUCAGAGGUAACACGAGCUGCCUAAACCUCUGCUGAGGAGAUAGAAGGCAAGCAUCCUGGGAGAGGAACCCCUUGGGAGAGUUUGAAGGAGACUGAGUGUCAAGGAAACCCGCAAACUACAGCAGAAAGGCAAGAAUGGAUUGUGGCUAGCUGGACACUGGGCCCUCCGCUGGCACUGUGGUCACUGCUGGCCCCAGUGCCACCAAUGCCACAGGACACUGGAUGCCAUAGCCACCAACUCCACCAGAAGGAGUUCCGAUUAUGUUGUUCAGUCUGGAUUUAGAAGUCUCAGCUAGGAAUAGUGGCAGAAGUAAUUGAGAAGCAAGAAGUAUGAGGAUGGACGGGGAGGGAGCAAACCACUUACCCGGUCAUGGACGAUUUGCCAGGAGCUGGGCCUUUAAUCAUCAGUUUUCUAUUAAUUCCUGGAACCAGACCCUCCCUGGCACAAUGGAUGAAGGGGAGAUGGGAGACUAGAAAACAGAAAUUGCUCAAAAAGGAAUUGAGCCCUUUGGAUGGGAAACAGGAACUCCGGUGGAAUGCAGGAGGAAGGAUUGAGCAAGAGAGAAGCAGCUGCCAACCUAUCCGAAUGAAAACAAACACCUUGAACACGACAGUGGACUUGAAAUGUUACUAAACUUUUUGGCAGGUUUCUCCCCACUAACAAGCCCGACGCAGGAAUACAAGAAAAGAAU
This 1025-nucleotide long non-coding RNA is filed under the name Equus caballus (horse). Its description in RNAcentral is "lncRNA (ENSECAG00000039845.3)". Lineage: Eukaryota; Metazoa; Chordata; Mammalia; Perissodactyla; Equidae. The record is from RNAcentral.